Molecule: ribosomal RNA, 505 nt
Filed under: uncultured bacterium
Lineage: Bacteria
Description: partial 16S ribosomal RNA
Rfam family: Bacterial small subunit ribosomal RNA
Source: RNAcentral
GACGAACGCUGGCGGCGUGCCUAAUACAUGCAAGUAGAACGCACAGUUUAUACCGUAGCUUGCUACACCAUAGACUGUGAGUUGCGAACGGGUGAGUAACGCGUAGGUAACCUGCCUGGUAGCGGGGGAUAACUAUUGGAAACGAUAGCUAAUACCGCAUAAUAUUGAUUAUUGCAUGAUAAUUGAUUGAAAGAUGCUAUUGCAUCACUACCAGAUGGACCUGCGUUGUAUUAGCUAGUAGGUGAGGUAACGGCUCACCUAGGCGACGAUACAUAGCCGACCUGAGAGGAUGAGCGGCCACGCUGGGACGGGGACACGGCCCAGACUCCUGCGGGAGGCAGCAGUAGGGAAUCUUCGGCAAUGGACGAAAGUCUGACCGAGCAACGCCGCGUGAGUGAAGAAGGUUUUCGGAUCGUAAAGCUCUGUUGUAAGAGAAGAACGGGUGUGAGAGUGGAAAGUUCACACUGUGACGGUAUCUUACCAGAAAGGGACGGCUAACUACGUG